CGCGUGUGUGAAGAAGGCCUUAUGGUUGUAAAGCACUUUAAGCGAGGAGGAGACUACUUUAGUUAAUACCUUGAGAUAGUGGACGUUCCUCGCAAAAUAAGCCCGGGCUAAUUCUGUGCCGCCGCCCGCGGUA
Molecule: ribosomal RNA, 133 nt
Filed under: uncultured bacterium
Lineage: Bacteria
Description: partial 16S ribosomal RNA
Rfam family: Bacterial small subunit ribosomal RNA
Source: RNAcentral